RNAcentral lists this ribosomal RNA (207 nucleotides) under uncultured bacterium. Its description in RNAcentral is "partial 16S ribosomal RNA". It matches the Rfam family "Bacterial small subunit ribosomal RNA", at positions 568 to 774 of the family's 1533-position model. The record is from RNAcentral.
UUCGUAGGCGGUUUUUCGCGUCGGAUGUGAAAACUCAGGGCUCAACCCUGAGCCUGCAUUCGAUACGGGAAGACUCGAGGACGGCAGGGGAGACUGGAACUUCUGGUGUAGCGGUGGAAUGCGCAGAUAUCAGAAAGAACACCAAUGGCGAAGGCAGGUCUCUGAGCCGAUCCUGACGCUGAGGAACGAAAGCGUGGGGAGCAAACA